This is a long non-coding RNA of Sander lucioperca (pikeperch), 232 nucleotides long. RefSeq lists it as uncharacterized. The record is from RefSeq and is a predicted model, not a curated record. Lineage: Eukaryota; Metazoa; Chordata; Actinopteri; Perciformes; Percidae. The transcript is spliced from 3 exons.
ACACAUGAUUGUAUCAACAGGGGAGGAGCAUACAACUAAACGGACAGAUCGUCAUGAUUAAAUCUUAUGUAUCUACAUAAAAAAAUAACAAACAAAUCAGGCACAAUGAAAACAGCCAACAGAAAGGGGAGACAGUAAACAAUUAAACUACAAAAAAAAAAUAAACUUAAUGAAACACAAACACUUCUAAAGUCUGAAUCACUUCCAGUGGAUCUUUAUGGCUUGGUCAAAG